Molecule: long non-coding RNA, 2185 nt
Organism: Rattus norvegicus (Norway rat)
Lineage: Eukaryota; Metazoa; Chordata; Mammalia; Rodentia; Muridae
Source: RefSeq, a predicted model, not a curated record
GUGUGUGUAGGGGGGGUUUGAUGGUGGGGGAGGGGUUGUUGUGGGGGGGGCUAGUUUGUUUCCGUUGGUUGUGAUAAACACCUCAGCCAAAAGCUGCUUGGGGAGGGGAGGGAUCGCUUGGCUUACUGGUUACUGUCUAUCUCCAGGGGAAGCCAAGGCAGGAACCUGGAGGCAGGAGCGGAGGCAGACAUCAAGGGAACACCGCUUACAAGCUUUCUUUCUGUGGCUCCUCAGUCAGCUUUAUACUACCUGCUCAGGGAUGGCACUACCCAUAGUGGGCUGGGCUCUCUCAUGGCAAUCAUCAGUCAGUUGACUCUAGGUUAUGUCGAGUUUGUCAAACACAAGCAGAACAGAGAGGAACAGCAUCCCGGAAGACUGGCAGGCAGGCAUCCAGCCUAGUGAGAAGGCAUUCUGAGGACCUGUGAUCACAGCCCCUUCCCCUGAGGUCUUGCCUUUGGGUGACAUAGAGGUAUCGAUGUCCUGGGAUACCUGACCAAGGCCCCACUAUCUGCCUCCUCAGGAAAAAGCCUUCUAAAGUGUUGUAUCUAAGUGUUGCCUUUUUAAACAUAGAUAUAUUAACUACGGAAAUGAUGACCUUUGGGACUAGGUGCAUUUUUAAAAUACAUUUUUUAUUAAUUCUCUUCUCUGAUAAUUUCAUACUGUGUAUAAUACAUUCUGGUUACUUUCACACCCCAUCCUCUUUAUCACCCUCCCACUGCUGUCACUCACUCUCCUGUAAUGGUACUAUUUGGAUACUUUAUUGGGUUUUUAUACCUAUCACCCUUCUCCAGCCCAAUCCCUUCCAACCCCCCAACACUAAGAAAGAAGGUUAGAGGGGAAAGUGGUCAUUGGUCUUGUUAGACUACUUCCUGCUGAUUAGGGACAUUGAGUUCCUUGGGGUAAGUCCAAUCUUCAUAGUUAGGAUAUCUCCAGCUGGCAAUCCAGCAAUCCAGCAGUCCAGCAAUCCAGCAAUCCAGCAGUCCAGCAAUCCAGCAGUCCAGCAAUCCAGCAAUCCAGCAGUCCAGCAAUCCAGCAAUCCAGCAGUCCAGCAAUCCAGCAAUCCAGCAAUCCAGCAGUCCAGCAAUCCAGCAAUCCAGCAGUCCAGCAAUCCAGCAAUCCAGCAAUCCAGCAAUUCAGCAAUCCAGCAAUCCAGCAAUUCAGCAAUCCAGCAAUCCAGCAAUUCAGCAACACCCGAGCAAGGGGAGCAACAGCCGCUGUCUCUCUCGGGACGCUGGCAUUUAUGUCCCCUCUCAAGAGUCCCCAGAAUUCUAAAUAUUUUCAGCUGGCAGAAUCAUGCCCCUGCCAGAGCAUGAGACAAAUCAUAGUCGCUGCCGCUGUGGACAACCUGGAGUAGCCGCAUAUCCCACACCUGGGAUUAAAACAAAAACACAUUCCACACAACAUAACUGGCUUUUUAAAGAAACCAAAAUUCUCCCUACACUCUCCUCUUCUCCACAGGUCUUUUUUUUCCUACAUUCAUGUCUCUUGUUUUGUUUUGUGACCCCCUUGAGUUUAACCGGGCUGUCUGUGUGACCUUAGGUUUGGUGCACUCACCUGCAGGUAUACCACCAAAGACAGCGAAAUCUCCUCCCUCAGAACCCACUAGUUGACAAUAGGCAACAGAGAAAGGAAGAGUCCCAUGAGGUCCUCCCCAGUCCAUAAUUGACAAGUGGCUGGCCCAGUCAUGUGCAGGACAGCGGAAACAACCUCAGCUGAUAAGGGGAUAGUGAUUGUAAUAGUGUGUCAUGGCCAGUGUUGAAGGCCAGGUCUCUCCAAGUCUUUCUCGGAGGCCCCGAUUAAAGGUCAAAGGAAACACUAAUUUUGUUUCCUUGCCCAGGGGCAGAUUUGGCAGUGUCCUGUCUACGGCUGGGGCCCUGAGGUUUUGUUCCUGGGAAUCUGACCUUUCCCCCACUGAAGGGCCUCACGUCUUCGGUGGAAAUGGCUCUUCCUCACCUUUGGAAUUGUCACCAGUGAAGAGAGAAGGCAGAGGCUGCAGCACAAUUUCUGAAGAACACAGUCCUCGUGGACAUUAGAGGACCCUCAUGGUGGAAAUUUAAACAAGGAAAAAGGGAAAGUCCACAUGAGUCACUUCUGCCCGCAUCGGCCAAAUCUUGGGGAGACAGUAUCCAUCCCACGUGAGAGUUCAUAGUCCUUUAUCGGGAAAUAAACUCAACUUGCUUUGUUA